Molecule: non-coding RNA, 536 nt
Filed under: Pan troglodytes (chimpanzee)
Lineage: Eukaryota; Metazoa; Chordata; Mammalia; Primates; Hominidae
Source: RNAcentral
AGAAAGGAGGAAGAGGCAGGCACAAGACAAAAUGAAUCUCUCCGCUGUGCACAUGGAGCCUUAGCUCUGAUUCCAGUUGAGCAAAAUUAUGAAGAAGAUGAUUCCCCAUAUGGAGGACAGAUAAACACCCUGCGGCGAGUCACUCACUCCCGAAAGGCCCUCUGAAGGAUCGCGCAUGUCCUGACUGCACAGCCUGCUCCUGACAAUGCUCUCAAAGCCACGGUUGUAAUAGAAAGUGGAAAAUUAAAGCAGAUCCGACAAGAGAAUCCUGAGAUUGAGAAGAGGGAGAAUACUUUAAAGAGGAGCCCCUCCUACUACAGAAACCUCAGUGUAACAGCAGGAAUGACCCUGUGCCUCCAAACAUGUGGUUUAAGAGGCAGAUCUAACAUGACUCUUCAAAAACAAGCCCAGGGAAAAGAGAAGAUGACAACAUGUAACCAGCAGCCAUCUUAGAAUGCAGGGGGCAGCUACAGUGCCACCUCUGCAGGCGGAUUUACCAGUUUAAAUAGAUGGUUCUCAAAACUGCAGGCAACUUU